AUCCUCUGCGGGCUGUGCCGUGCGAUGGCUCCUCAGCACGGCUCUCCUCCAAGCCGGCUGCCAGGCUCGGCCCCGCCGGCCGGCCCUCAGCGCUGCGGGCUGCACCUGUAACUUGGCGAGGAGCGAAGCCUCUGACACCGCUGGCCUCGCCGUGGAGAGUCUCAGUCAAGACAAACGAAACCACCAGUGUUUUCCUUCCACUUCCACUCCAGAACAGCACUGAGAGGGGAUUGCUUGGGUGCCUGCACUGACAGAGCCCUGAACUUUGCUAUCAGGUCACGUACCAGAUUUUCUCUUCAACGUUGAGCUGUCUUCCUUGGCCGUGUCUCCCUGCUUGGCUUUGAAGACCAUCUGUCUUGCAGAGAAACCAGAGGAACAGGAGGAAAAGCAGCGUGCCUAAGGAGUAGAUACAACCCAAGGCCUCGGGAAGGGCAGGAGCUGCAGCCGAGGGGCUGACACAGGCACCGUGACAGUGGGGCAGCUCCGUCCCCACCGUGGCAGCCACGGCUGCACCGUCCAUGGCUGCACACGGGGAGCGGCGGCAGGACGAGGCCAUGCAGCAGGGAACCC
This is a long non-coding RNA of Chroicocephalus ridibundus (black-headed gull), 570 nucleotides long. RefSeq lists it as uncharacterized. The record is from RefSeq and is a predicted model, not a curated record. The transcript is spliced from 4 exons. NCBI's taxonomy places the organism in Eukaryota, Metazoa, Chordata, Aves, Charadriiformes, Laridae.